This 427-nucleotide ribosomal RNA is filed under the name uncultured bacterium. RNAcentral describes it as "partial 16S ribosomal RNA". It matches the Rfam family "Bacterial small subunit ribosomal RNA", at positions 355 to 774 of the family's 1533-position model. The record is from RNAcentral.
UGGGGAAUAUUGCACAAUGGGCGCAAGCCUGAUGCAGCCAUGCCGCGUGUAUGAGGAAGGCCUUCGGGUUGUAAAGUACUUUCAGCGGGGAGGAAGGCGAUAAGGUUAAUAACCUUGUCGAUUAACGUUACCCGCAGAAGAAGCACCGGCUAACUCCGUGCCAGCAGCCGCGGUAAUACGGAGGGGGCAAGCGUUAAUCGGAAUUACUGGGCGUAAAGCGCACGCAGGCGGUCUGUCAAGUCGGAUGUGAAAUCCCCGGGCUCAACCUGGGAACUGCAUUCGAAACUGGCAGGCUAGAGUCUUGUAGAGGGGGGUAGAAUUCCAGGUGUAGCGGUGAAAUGCGUAGAGAUCUGGAGGAAUACCGGUGGCGAAGGCGGCCCCCUGGACAAAGACUGACGCUCAGGUGCGAAAGCGUGGGGAGCAAACA